This 253-nucleotide ribosomal RNA is filed under the name uncultured bacterium. Its description in RNAcentral is "partial 16S ribosomal RNA". It matches the Rfam family "Bacterial small subunit ribosomal RNA", at positions 524 to 776 of the family's 1533-position model. The record is from RNAcentral.
UACGAAGGGGGCUAGCGUUGCUCGGAAUCACUGGGCGUAAAGGGUGCGUAGGCGGGUUUUUAAGUCAGAGGUGAAAUCCUGGAGCUCAACUCCAGAACUGCCUUUGAUACUGAAGAUCUUGAGUCCGGAAGAGGUGAGUGGAACUGCGAGUGUAGAGGUGAAAUUCGUAGAUAUUGGGAAGAACACCGGUGGCGAAGGCGGCUCACUGGACCGGCAUUGACGCUGAGGUGCGAAAGCGUGGGGAGCAAACAGG